GAUGAACGCUGGCGGCGUGCUUAACACAUGCAAGUCGAACGGGAUCCCAGGAGCUUGCUCCUGGGUGAGAGUGGCGAACGGGUGAGUAAUGCGUGACCGACCUGCCCCAUACACCGGAAUAGCUCCUGGAAACGGGUGGUAAUGCCGGAUGCUCCAGUUGGAUGCAUGUCCUUCUGGGAAAGAUUCUAUCGGUAUGGGAUGGGGUCGCGUCCUAUCAGCUUGAUGGCGGGGUAACGGCCCACCAUGGCUUCGACGGGUAGCCGGCCUGAGAGGGCGACCGGCCACAUUGGGACUGAGAUACGGCCCAGACUCCUACGGGAGGCAGCAGUGGGGAAUAUUGCACAAUGGGCGCAAGCCUGAUGCAGCGACGCCGCGUGCGGGAUGACGGCCUUCGGGUUGUAAACCGCUUUUGACUGGGAGCAAGCCCUUCGGGGUGAGUGUACCUU
Molecule: ribosomal RNA, 446 nt
Filed under: uncultured bacterium
Lineage: Bacteria
Description: bacterial SSU rRNA
Rfam family: Bacterial small subunit ribosomal RNA
Source: RNAcentral